UCUCCGUUGGUGAACCAGCGGAGGGAUCAUUACUGGAAUCGCAAGAUCCCACAACCCCUGUGAACCUACCGAAACGUUGCCUCGGCGGGCGCCCGGCCCCGCGCCGGGCGUCGAGCCCGCCGGUGGCCCACUACUCUGUCACUGCAGCGUGGCAUCUCCGAGUACAAGAAAAACAAGUCAAAACUUUCAACAACGGAUCUCUUGGCUCUA
RNAcentral lists this unclassified non-coding RNA (210 nucleotides) under plant metagenome. Its description in RNAcentral is "partial contains small subunit ribosomal RNA, internal transcribed spacer 1, and 5.8S ribosomal RNA". The record is from RNAcentral.